AUUGAACGCUGGCGGCAUGCCUUACACAUGCAAGUCGAACGGCAGCACGGGUGCUUGCACCUGGUGGCGAGUGGCGAACGGGUGAGUAAUACAUCGGAACGUACCUUAUCGUGGGGGAUAACGCAGCGAAAGCUGUGCUAAUACCGCAUACGCCCUGAGGGGGAAAGCGGGGGAUCGCAAGACCUCGCGCGAUUAGAGCGGCCGAUGCCUGAUUAGCUUGUUGGUGGGGUAAAAGCCCACCAAGGCGACGAUCAGUAGCUGGUCUGAGAGGACGAUCAGCCACACUGGGACUGAGACACGGCCCAGACUCCUACGGGAGGCAGCAGUGGGGAAUUUUGGACAAUGGGGGCAACCCUGAUCCAGCAAUGCCGCGUGAGUGAAGAAGGCCUUUGGGUUGCAAAGCUCUUUUGUCAGGGAAGAAACACCGGCUCUAACACAGUCCGGGAAUGACGGUACCUGAAGAAUAAGCACCGGCUAACUACGUGCCAGCCGCCGCGGUAA
RNAcentral lists this ribosomal RNA (501 nucleotides) under uncultured bacterium. RNAcentral's name for it is "partial 16S ribosomal RNA". It matches the Rfam family "Bacterial small subunit ribosomal RNA", at positions 29 to 523 of the family's 1533-position model. The record is from RNAcentral.